GAACUUAGCAGAGAUGCUUUGGUGCCUUCGGGAACUCUGAGACAGGUGCUGCAUGGCUGUCGUCAGCUCGUGUUGUGAAAUGUUGGGUUAAGUCCCGCAACGAGCGCAACCCUUAUCCUUUGUUGCCAGCGGCUCGGCCGGGAACUCAAAGGAGACUGCCGGUGAUAAACCGGAGGAAGGUGGGGAUGACGUCAAGUCAUCAUGGCCCUUACGGCCAGGGCUACACACGUGCUACAAUGGCGCAUACAAAGAGAAGCGACCUCGCGAGAGCAAGCGGACCUCAUAAAGUGCGUCGUAGUCCGGAUUGGAGUCUGCAACUCGACUCCAUGAAGUCGGAAUCGCUAGUAAUCGUAGAUCAGAAUGCUACGGUGAAUACGUUCCCGGGCCUUGUACACACCGCCCGUCACACCAUGGGAGUGGGUUGCAAAAGAAGUAGGUAGCUUAACCUUCGGGAGGGCGCUUACCACUUUGUGAUUCAUGACUGGGGUGAAGUCGUAACAAGGUAAGCGUAGCGAG
This 516-nucleotide ribosomal RNA is filed under the name uncultured bacterium. RNAcentral describes it as "bacterial SSU rRNA". It matches the Rfam family "Bacterial small subunit ribosomal RNA", at positions 993 to 1509 of the family's 1533-position model. The record is from RNAcentral.